GCGAGUGGGAGAGGGAAAUGGGAUCGGAUCGGAUCGGUUCGGUUCGGUUCCAUUCCAAGGCACUCCAUUCGAUUUCAUUCGACAGGGGGUUUACUGUAAAUGUAAUUACCAUAUCGUACCAAUAUCAGACUUUCUUUUCAUCUGAGAAACACUUGAUCAGAUAAUAUCAAUCAAUGUGGUCAUAGCUGGAAAUCAAACUAAUUUCCUAUUCAACAUACAUAAUAAUAGUCGAGUGGAAUGGAUGCAGCUAAUAGUGAAUCGAACAAUAAACUGGUUUACAUAUGCAUGUACAUAUGUCGAAUAAUGCUGCGUAAUAUGUACAUAAGUACAUUUGUAUGUACGUCUGUAAGUCUUUGACUAUGGAUCCGCUCGAUCUCUGAAUUCCCUUCACUUAUCAUAGAGGACAGCAGGACAGUAGGACAGUGGGACAGAAGGAGAGCAGGAGAGCAGGAGAGCAGGAGAGCAGGAGAGUGACUCUAGCCUAAGAGCACAGAGCACACAUCACAUAUGUACACAUAAAUACCCAUAUUUUUACCGGUUUGUACUUCUACUAUAAUGUGUACAUAGUACUAGUUCAUAUAGUAAAUGUGUACAAUGUACAUCUUAAAAAACUGUUAUAAAAGAGCACUGGAUCUGCUUCGAGCCUACUUUCGAA
Drosophila miranda is the source of this 655-nucleotide long non-coding RNA. RefSeq lists it as uncharacterized. The transcript has 3 exons. Lineage: Eukaryota; Metazoa; Arthropoda; Insecta; Diptera; Drosophilidae. The record is from RefSeq and is a predicted model, not a curated record.